AACGUAGGAGCCAAGCGUUAUCCGGAUUCACUGGGCGUAAAGCGCGCGUAGGCGGCUUUGCAAGUCGGGGGUGAAAUCCCCAGGCUUAACCUGGGAACUGCAUUCGAGACUGCAUUGCUAGAGUAUGGGAGAGGGAAGUGGAAUUUCCGGUGUAGCGGUGAAAUGCGUAGAUAUCGGAAGGAACAUCAGUGGCGAAAGCGACUUCCUGGACCAAUACUGACGCUCAUGUGCGAAAGCGUGGGGAGCAAACAGG
Molecule: ribosomal RNA, 253 nt
Filed under: uncultured bacterium
Lineage: Bacteria
Description: partial 16S ribosomal RNA
Rfam family: Bacterial small subunit ribosomal RNA
Source: RNAcentral